UGCAUCCAAUUAGCCCCUUCCAUCAGGGGACCAGGCAUGCGAGCAAAACCCACCAGGACCGUCCAGACCAGUUGAGCACUGAAUGACCCAGUCCGUUCAACACGCUGGGUCCUGCCUACAUUCCAGACUCACAAAACCAUGAUGGGAAAUGAUGAGAAGCUGUGGGUCUCAGCGGUGCUGAAGACUUCAGAGAUUCCAUAUAUAUGUGUUAGCAUAUUCCAUCGCGGCCUCCAGAUUGCCACCUGGGAGGCCAGACUGACUCGCCCGGCAAGGCUGUUUGCUGGAAAACUCGCCAGCUUACCUGGGCUCUCCUGCGGCUGCCCUGCUCCCGCCAGCACCUAAUCAUACAGGAAAAAAGGUUCCUUCCUUCAAAUCACAAUUUCCCAAGCUGGUCUUCUGCUGAUCCCUUGAAGUCUGGAAACACUGCAUGGAUUAAACAAAGGCAGAAAACUUCCUUCUGCAGUACUUUUGGGGGUCUCGCCGUGCUAAUGAGCACUGUGGACCACUGAGAAGAAAAUGGCACUCCUCACACUGGACUACCAAACAAUUUGGUUCCCCUCCACCACCCCUGGAAGAAACAUCUUCUGGAACGAAUUCUAUGGAAAGUGGUUUGAAAAAACACUGUUCUCCAGAACUAACUGGUUCUUCUUUUCUUUGGACGCAGCGAGAUCUGUACAUAACAGAUCUCAUUAAAGCUUUUUCUUUUUUAAUCUGCUCCAGGGUUUGAUUCCUGGCUUUGCCCUUAUUUUGGCUGUGUGACCUUAAACAAUUGCCUCAGUCUCUGAGAUUGUUUUGCAUCCAUCAGACGGAGACAGUACCUACCUCUCUAGGUUGUUAGAGGAAUCAAAUAAGAACGUAAAAUGCCUAGCACAGUACUUGGUACACAGUUGGUGCUUAAUAAAUGUGCAUCUUCUUUCUUUACCAAAUAUAUUGACAUCAAAUCCUUCUGGAAGAAGCAGGCAUCUCUCUCUCUAACCCCCACAAUGCUGGCACGUGCUGUGUCCAUCAUGGACUUGAAGUAUUUGCUAAAUGCAUGGAUGAAUGAAUCAUCAAUGCCCUGCUAGACCCCCAUCCCUGAGCCACACAAAUCCAGGGUAGAUGACCCGUGACAAUGGGACAGUCAUAAAAUGGGAAGAGUUCUGGCGCUUACAACUCGAUAUCUAGAAGAAUAAUUUUCACCAAACCCCCCCCCCAAUAGAUAUUUAAAGUGCAAGGCAAGGAGAUGUAAGUGUUCCUAAUCUUUGCUUAAGGACACUGAUGACAUGAUGUUGCUUUCCUAGUGCAGGCAGAUGGACGAUCCUAACUCAGAAAGCAUUAAUGCAGAGAGAACAAUCAGUACACACAGAAAACCCAGCACUUGGACCUUGGAACGAGGCCACAGGGGUUUGAAUCAGAGUCCAGUCAAGUGUGACCUUGACCUCCUCACAUCUCGGUUCCCCGUCUCAGCACCUACUUGUAGGGCUGUGAUGAGGAUUCAAGUUAACGGAUGAGAUGUGCUCAGAGCAAUGCUGAGAUCAUAGUAAGCAAGCAAUAAAUAUGGACUGCUAUUAUAGUCAUGGUAAUUGACACUUAUUAAUGCCUCAUCAUAAACCCU
Globicephala melas (long-finned pilot whale) is the source of this 1594-nucleotide long non-coding RNA. RefSeq lists it as uncharacterized. The record is from RefSeq and is a predicted model, not a curated record. Lineage: Eukaryota; Metazoa; Chordata; Mammalia; Artiodactyla; Delphinidae.